Molecule: transfer RNA, 77 nt
Filed under: Campylobacterota bacterium
Lineage: Bacteria; Pseudomonadati; Campylobacterota
Also listed under: 1 other name
Description: tRNA-Asp
Rfam family: tRNA
About the family: Transfer RNA (tRNA) molecules are approximately 80 nucleotides in length. Their secondary structure includes four short double-helical elements and three loops (D, anti-codon, and T loops).
Source: RNAcentral
GGUUCGGUAGCUCAGUUGGUUAGAGCGCCGCCCUGUCACGGCGGAGGUCGCGGGUUCGAGCCCCGUCCGGACCGCCA